GUGAGGAAUAUUGCGCAAUGGAGGCAACUCUGACGCAGCCAUGCCGCGUGCAGGAAGAAGGCGCUACGCGUUGUAAACUGCUUUUAACCGGGAAGAAACCCCAGGACGUGUCCUGGGUUGACGGUACCGGAGGAAUAAGCACCGGCUAACUUCGUGCCAGCAGCCGCGGUAAUACGAAGGGUGCAAGCGUUAUCCGGAUUCAUUGGGUUUAAAGGGUGCGUAGGCGGAGCGUUAAGUCAGUGGUGAAAUCCUGCAGCUUAACUGUAGACUUGCCAUCGAUACUGGCGCUCUUGAGUGCGCUUGAAGUGGGCGGAAUGUGCCGUGUAGCGGUGAAAUGCUUAGAUAUGGCACAGAACACCAAUUGCGAAGGCAGCUCACUAAGGCGAUACUGACGCUGAGGCACGAAAGCGUGGGGAUCGAACAGGAUUAGAUACCCUUGUAGUCC
Molecule: ribosomal RNA, 445 nt
Filed under: uncultured bacterium
Lineage: Bacteria
Description: partial 16S ribosomal RNA
Rfam family: Bacterial small subunit ribosomal RNA
Source: RNAcentral